CUGAUGCAAACCUUUUCGUCUGAUGAAACCUUGUAUUUUUCACGAUGAGAUUUUUUUGGUUUGUUUUUUAUGCAUCAUCAGUUUAAUGCCUAAAAGAAUAUUUGGUAUCACAUUUACUUUCUGAACCUUCUGAUGAACAAUUUUGUCUUUUUUACAGAAUUUGGUUCUCACAGCUGUCUGAGUGGCUGAAGGGAGAUUUAUGAUCUGACCAAGGUGAAACAGGUCAGGAGAAGAACGACUUCUUGCCACCCACGUUCCUGUCUUCUCUCAGCACCAUCAAACACUGAUACCCCUCCAAGGACCCUCCUCUCCACUCCCCUCAACCCACCCACUGCUCCCUCACUCGGACCUCCAUCAGUGCACGGCAGGAGAAAGAAAGAAAGAGCGAGGGAGGGAUGGAGGAAAGGAUGGACGAAGUUUUUAGAGGCGCAACAUGUCUGGUCGCCGACACCAUUUGGCAACAAACGCGGGAACUCAGAGUGAUGUUGGGUUUUUUUUUAAAUAAAAGCUGAAUGCACAGAUCCACAUCUUUAUGCAGACACAGGAGUGGUUUGGAGUGUUUGGACCUUCUCCAUGUCUGUGACUCAGAGGCCUGGCCCGCUUGCCCAGUGUUCAGACUACCUGUUCAGGAUGUGGUGAUUGUACAGUAGUCUGCACAUUGGUUAGGCUGAUCAGGGGAAAGCACACUGAUUCCCUGCGCUAAACAAGCAUACAAGCACAUCAACAUGUGUCUGGCUGGCAUUGUAGUGUUCAGUGCAAAAGGCUGGAAAAAAGGUGAAAAAUGGGAAACAUGUUUCUAUUUUACAUGUUAAUGUUAAAAAUUAAAUCUGGAUAUAUUCAACUACAGAAAAAAGUAGUCAAAGGUUUGCUAUGCCAGUCUCAGUUUCCAGAUCUGAUUUGAAGAAGACCCUGUAUGACCCCUAGCAGAAGUUUAACAUAUAUUUCAAGAAAAUGGACAGUGGAUGCAUAUUACUUCCAGAACGUCCAGAAUGAAAAAAAAUUCUUCUCAGACAAUAUAAAUGAGAUCGGAGGCUUUUCUAAAGGCAAAGAGGAGGCAAGCAAGCUAUCCGAGAAUAUUGAUAUCACUUUCAGAAAGGUUGAGGCAAACCUUUGAACUGAUGUAAUUUUGCAAUGAAUUAAAUUCAUCUGUCUUCUUCAUUUUGUCCUAAGGUCAUAUAAACCUUUGCAAAUAACAGUAUAGCUGUUAA
Ictalurus furcatus (blue catfish) is the source of this 1208-nucleotide long non-coding RNA. RefSeq lists it as uncharacterized. NCBI's taxonomy places the organism in Eukaryota, Metazoa, Chordata, Actinopteri, Siluriformes, Ictaluridae. The record is from RefSeq and is a predicted model, not a curated record. The transcript has 3 exons.